Long non-coding RNA from Anopheles stephensi (Asian malaria mosquito), 708 nucleotides. RefSeq lists it as uncharacterized. The record is from RefSeq and is a predicted model, not a curated record. The transcript has 3 exons. NCBI's taxonomy places the organism in Eukaryota, Metazoa, Arthropoda, Insecta, Diptera, Culicidae.
CACCACAGGAAAUCUCAUGUGUUUGACACAGAACGAACGAAAAAAUACUUCCGGCGAAGCACAACAACUCCAUACCUGUUUCUUAUCACAUCUCACUCGUGCUCCAUCAUCAUCAAAAUGUUCAUGCGAACCGUGGCAGGAGCACCGCACACAUGUCACCUGAAUCGUCGUUUGGUGGAUUAUACGCCUUUCAUGCCUCGUCCGACAGUUGUUGCUUCGGGCUAAUACGGUGAUGAUUUUUGUUUGAUGGAUGAAUGAAUCGAUCCGUGUACCUACACGGAACGCAGACCUAGCGCAGUGCCGAUCGCAGUUCCUUACCUCAAUGCUGACACUUCCAUCAAAGCGGACGCGAACACACGACGAACGAUAAACGGAAUAGAAUACCGGCUCACCCACGAUUCAACUCUUAACUCAUCAGCGGUAGAUUGUCGCCCGGUCGCUACAGACGCUGCCAGCAGUGGCUUCGUGAUGCAAUAGACGGCAGAUUUGUGUAUGCUUCUACAGCCUGCUCUAACUCGCCGUAGCUUCCUUUUCGUUGUCUUGGGUCGACGUCUUGAAAACACACGCUCUCGCGGGAGCGCGGAAUUGGCGAUAAUAUCGAAAUCAUAUUUAAAUUCUUCUCCCUGCGGCUUAUCCCCGCUCAUGUCAACCGCUACCAGAACCACCGACAUAGACGGAAGGAGCGAUAGAACUGAACACAAGCCGACA